AAGUCGUAACAAGGUUUCCGUAGGUGAACCUGCGGAAGGAUCAUUAUUGAAUAAACUUGGCUGGGUUGUUGCUGGUUCUUUCGGGGACAUGUGCACACCCGUCAUCUUUGUAUUUCCACCUGUGCACAUUUUGUAGGUCCAAAAAAUUUUUCCCGAGACACUCGUUUGGGGGACUGCCGUUCGUUAAUGUCGGCUUCCCCUGUUGGCCUGUAUAGGUCAAAAUUUUUUUCCGAGACACUCGUUUGGGGCACUGUCAUCUGGCUUGCUCUGCAUUUAUUGGCCUAUGUUUUCAUAUACACCAUAAUGUAAUAGAAUGUUAUUAAUGGGCUUUGCCUAUAAACUAUAUACAACUUUCAGCAACGGAUCUCUUGGCUCUC
This 377-nucleotide unclassified non-coding RNA is filed under the name air metagenome. Its description in RNAcentral is "partial contains small subunit ribosomal RNA, internal transcribed spacer 1, and 5.8S ribosomal RNA". The stretch from base 1 to 46 matches the Rfam family "Eukaryotic small subunit ribosomal RNA", at positions 1786 to 1831 of the family's 1831-position model. The record is from RNAcentral.